Molecule: transfer RNA, 85 nt
Filed under: Planctomycetota bacterium
Lineage: Bacteria; Pseudomonadati; Planctomycetota
Description: Planctomycetes bacterium tRNA-Tyr
Rfam family: tRNA
About the family: Transfer RNA (tRNA) molecules are approximately 80 nucleotides in length. Their secondary structure includes four short double-helical elements and three loops (D, anti-codon, and T loops). Further hydrogen bonds mediate the characteristic L-shaped molecular structure. tRNAs have two regions of fundamental functional importance: the anti-codon, which is responsible for specific mRNA codon recognition, and the 3' end, to which the tRNAs corresponding amino acid is attached (by aminoacyl-tRNA synthetases). tRNAs cope with the degeneracy of the genetic code in two manners: having more than one tRNA (with a specific anti-codon) for a particular amino acid; and 'wobble' base-pairing, i.e. permitting non-standard base-pairing at the 3rd anti-codon position.
Source: RNAcentral
GGGAAGGUACCUAAGUGGCCAACAGGGUUGGAUUGUAAAUCCAAUGGCUCCGCCUUCAGAGGUUCGAAUCCUCUCCUUCCCACCA